GUGGGGAAUAUUGGGCAAUGGGCGCAAGCCUGACCCAGCAACGCCGCGUGAGGGAAGAAGGCCUUCGGGUUGUAAACCUCUGUCCUUGGUGACGAAGGAAGUGACGGUAGCCAAGGAGGAAGCCCCGGCUAACUACGUGCCAGCAGCCGCGGUAAUACGUAGGGGGCGAGCGUUGUCCGGAAUUACUGGGCGUAAAGGGUGCGUAGGUGGCCUUUUAAGUUGGAUGUGAAAUACCCGGGCUUAACCUGGGGGGUGCAUCUAAUACUGGGAGGCUAGAGUGCAGGAGAGGGAAGCGGAAUUCCUAGUGUAGCGGUGAAAUGCGUAGAUAUUAGGAGGAACACCAGUGGCGAAGGCGGCUUUCUGGACGAAAACUGACGCUGAGGCGCGAAAGCCAGGGGAGCGAACGGGAUUAGAUACCCUUGUAGUCC
Molecule: ribosomal RNA, 428 nt
Filed under: uncultured bacterium
Lineage: Bacteria
Description: partial 16S ribosomal RNA
Rfam family: Bacterial small subunit ribosomal RNA
Source: RNAcentral